This 465-nucleotide ribosomal RNA is filed under the name uncultured Streptococcus sp. Its description in RNAcentral is "bacterial SSU rRNA". It matches the Rfam family "Bacterial small subunit ribosomal RNA", at positions 338 to 795 of the family's 1533-position model. The record is from RNAcentral. Lineage: Bacteria; Bacillati; Bacillota; Bacilli; Lactobacillales; Streptococcaceae.
CCUACGGGUGGCAGCAGUAGGGAAUCUUCGGCAAUGGGGGGAACCCUGACCGAGCAACGCCGCGUGAGUGAAGAAGGUUUUCGGAUCGUAAAGCUCUGUUGUAAGAGAAGAACGAGUGUGAGAGUGGAAAGUUCACACUGUGACGGUAUCUUACCAGAAAGGGACGGCUAACUACGUGCCAGCAGCCGCGGUAAUACGUAGGUCCCGAGCGUUGUCCGGAUUUAUUGGGCGUAAAGCGAGCGCAGGCGGUUAGAUAAGUCUGAAGUUAAAGGCUGUGGCUUAACCAUAGUACGCUUUGGAAACUGUUUAACUUGAGUGCAAGAGGGGAGAGUGGAAUUCCAUGUGUAGCGGUGAAAUGCGUAGAUAUAUGGAGGAACACCGGUGGCGAAAGCGGCUCUCUGGCUUGUAACUGACGCUGAGGCUCGAAAGCGUGGGGAGCAAACAGGAUUAGAUACCCUGGUAGUC